CCCCCGCCUGGGGAGUACGACCGCAAGGUUGAAACUCAAAGGAAUUGACGGGGGCCCGCACAAGCGGGGAAGUAUGUGGUUUAAUUCGACGCAACGCGAAGAACCUUACCAGGUCUUGACAUUGAUGGACAGAACUAGAGAUAGUUCCUCUUCUUCGGAAGCCAGAAAACAGGUGGUGCACGGUUGUCGUCAGCUCGUGUCGUGAGAUGUUGGGUUAAGUCCCGCAACGAGCGCAACCCCUAUCUUAUGUUGCCAGCACUUUGGGUGGGAACUCAUGAGAGACUGCCGCAGACAAUGCGGAGGAAGGCGGGGAUGACGUCAAAUCAUCAUGCCCCUUAUGACCUGGGCUGCACACGUACUACAAUGGGAGUUAAUAGACGGAAGCAAUACCGCGAGGUGAGCAAACCCGAGAAACACUCUCUCAGUUCGGAUCGUAGGCUGCAACUCGCCUACGUGAAGUCGGAAUCGCUAGUAAUCGCAGGUCAGCAUACUGCGGUGAAUACGUUCCCGGGCCUUGUACUCGCCGCCCGUCAAUCGCCGCCCGUGCACACCCCGCCCG
Molecule: ribosomal RNA, 559 nt
Filed under: uncultured organism
Description: SSU rRNA
Rfam family: Bacterial small subunit ribosomal RNA
Source: RNAcentral